CGGGGGGAGCAAGCGUUGUUCGGAUUUACUGGGCGUAAAGGGCGCGUAGGCGGCUACCGCAAGUCGACUGUGAAAUCUCCGGGCUUAACCCGGAAAGGUCAGCCGAUACUGCGGGGCUAGAGUGCAGAAGGGGCAACUGGAAUUCUCGGUGUAGCGGUGAAAUGCGUAGAUAUCGAGAGGAACACCUGCGGCGAAGGCGGGUUGCUGGGCUGACACUGACGCUGAGGCGCGAAAGCUAGGGGAGCGAACGGGAUUAGAUACCCCGGUAGUCCUAGCCUUAAACGAUGAAUGCUUGGUGUCUGGGGUUUUAUAGUCCCCGGGUGCCGUCGCUAACGCUUUAAGCAUUCCGCCUGGGGAGUACGGUCGCAAGACUG
Molecule: ribosomal RNA, 374 nt
Filed under: uncultured organism
Description: bacterial SSU rRNA
Rfam family: Bacterial small subunit ribosomal RNA
Source: RNAcentral